AGGAGUGUGGCUCAGUGGUUGAGCACUUGCCUAGCAUGCAUGAGAUCUUGGGCUCAAUUCCCAGCACUGUAA
Molecule: transfer RNA, 72 nt
Filed under: Marmota marmota marmota (Alpine marmot)
Lineage: Eukaryota; Metazoa; Chordata; Mammalia; Rodentia; Sciuridae
Also listed under: 1 other name
Rfam family: tRNA
About the family: Transfer RNA (tRNA) molecules are approximately 80 nucleotides in length. Their secondary structure includes four short double-helical elements and three loops (D, anti-codon, and T loops). Further hydrogen bonds mediate the characteristic L-shaped molecular structure. tRNAs have two regions of fundamental functional importance: the anti-codon, which is responsible for specific mRNA codon recognition, and the 3' end, to which the tRNAs corresponding amino acid is attached (by aminoacyl-tRNA synthetases). tRNAs cope with the degeneracy of the genetic code in two manners: having more than one tRNA (with a specific anti-codon) for a particular amino acid; and 'wobble' base-pairing, i.e. permitting non-standard base-pairing at the 3rd anti-codon position.
Source: Rfam by way of RNAcentral